GCCCUCGUAGCUCAGUGGAUAGAGCACCGCUCUCCUAAAGCGGGUGUCGGACGUUCGAAUCGUCUCGGGGGCA
The sequence is a transfer RNA, 73 nucleotides long. It matches the Rfam family "tRNA". Rfam says of the family: Transfer RNA (tRNA) molecules are approximately 80 nucleotides in length. Their secondary structure includes four short double-helical elements and three loops (D, anti-codon, and T loops). Further hydrogen bonds mediate the characteristic L-shaped molecular structure. tRNAs have two regions of fundamental functional importance: the anti-codon, which is responsible for specific mRNA codon recognition, and the 3' end, to which the tRNAs corresponding amino acid is attached (by aminoacyl-tRNA synthetases). tRNAs cope with the degeneracy of the genetic code in two manners: having more than one tRNA (with a specific anti-codon) for a particular amino acid; and 'wobble' base-pairing, i.e. permitting non-standard base-pairing at the 3rd anti-codon position. The record is from Rfam.